CCCCGUCACACCACGAAAGCUGGUUUCACCAGAAGUCGGUGCGCCAACCGUAAGGAAGCAGCCGCCCAAGGUGAGGUCGGUGAUCGGGGUGAAGUCGUAACAAGGUACC
Molecule: ribosomal RNA, 109 nt
Filed under: uncultured bacterium
Lineage: Bacteria
Description: partial 16S ribosomal RNA
Rfam family: Bacterial small subunit ribosomal RNA
Source: RNAcentral